Molecule: ribosomal RNA, 1160 nt
Filed under: Escherichia coli
Lineage: Bacteria; Pseudomonadati; Pseudomonadota; Gammaproteobacteria; Enterobacterales; Enterobacteriaceae
Description: partial 23S ribosomal RNA
Rfam family: Bacterial large subunit ribosomal RNA
Source: RNAcentral
GGGUUGUGAGGUUAAGCGACUAAGCGUACACGGUGGAUGCCCUGGCAGUCAGAGGCGAUGAAGGACGUGCUAAUCUGCGAUAAGCGUCGGUAAGGUGAUAUGAACCGUUAUAACCGGCGAUUUCCGAAUGGGGAAACCCAGUGUGAUUCGUCACACUAUCAUUAACUGAAUCCAUAGGUUAAUGAGGCGAACCGGGGGAACUGAAACAUCUAAGUACCCCGAGGAAAAGAAAUCAACCGAGAUUCCCCCAGUAGCGGCGAGCGAACGGGGAGCAGCCCAGAGCCUGAAUCAGUGUGUGUGUUAGUGGAAGCGUCUGGAAAGGCGUGCGAUACAGGGUGACAGCCCCGUACACAAAAAUGCACAUAUUGUGAGCUCGAUGAGUAGGGCGGGACACGUGGUAUCCUGUCUGAAUAUGGGGGGACCAUCCUCCAAGGCUAAAUACUCCUGACUGACCGAUAGUGAACCAGUACCGUGAGGGAAAGGCGAAAAGAACCCCGGCGAGGGGAGUGAAAAAGAACCUGAAACCGUGUACGUACAAGCAGUGGGAGCACAGAGCAAUCUGUGUGACUGCGUACCUUUUGUAUAAUGGGUCAGCGACUUAUAUUCUGUAGCAAGGUUAACCGAAUAGGGGAGCCGAAGGGAAACCGAGUCUUAACUGGGCGUUAAGUUGCAGGGUAUAGACCCGAAACCCGGUGAUCUAGCCAUGGGCAGGUUGAAGGUUGGGUAACACUAACUGGAGGACCGAACCGACUAAUGUUGAAAAAUUAGCGGAUGACUUGUGGCUGGGGGUGAAAGGCCAAUCAAACCGGGAGAUAGCUGGUUCUCCCCGAAAGCUAUUUAGGUAGCGCCUCGUGAAUUCAUCUCCGGGGGUAGAGCACUGUUUCGGCAAGGGGGUCAUCCCGACUUACCAACCCGAUGCAAACUGCGAAUACCGGAGAAUGUUAUCACGGGAGACACACGGCGGGUGCUAACGUCCGUCGUGAAGAGGGAAACAACCCAGACCGCCAGCUAAGGUCCCAAAGUCAUGGUUAAGUGGGAAACGAUGUGGGAAGGCCCAGACAGCCAGGAUGUUGGCUUAGAAGCAGCCAUCAUUUAAAGAAAGCGUAAUAGCUCACUGGUCGAGUCGGCCUGCGCGGAAGAUGUAACGGGGCUAAACCAUG